Molecule: ribosomal RNA, 489 nt
Filed under: uncultured bacterium
Lineage: Bacteria
Description: partial 16S ribosomal RNA
Rfam family: Bacterial small subunit ribosomal RNA
Source: RNAcentral
GACGAACGCUGGCGGCGUGCUUAACACAUGCAAGUCGAACGGUGAAGGGACCAGCUUGCUGGUUCUGGAUGAGUGGCGAACGGGUGAGUAACACGUGAGUAACCUGCCCCCUUCUUCUGGAUAACCGCAUGAAAGUGUGGCUAAUACGGGAUAUUCUGGGUCUGUCGCAUGGCGGGCCCGGGAAAGAUAUUGCUUCGGUGGGGGAUGGGCUCGCGGCCUAUCAGCUUGUUGGUGGGGUGAUGGCCUACCAAGGCGGUGACGGGUAGCCGGCCUGAGAGGGUGGACGGUCACACUGGGACUGAGACACGGCCCAGACUCCUACGGGAGGCAGCAGUGGGGAAUAUUGCACAAUGGGCGCAAGCCUGAUGCAGCGACGCCGCGUGAGGGAUGGAGGCCUUCGGGUUGUAAACCUCUUUCGCCAGUGAAGCAGGCCUGCUCCUUGUGGGUGGGCUGACGGUAGCUGGAUAAGAAGCGCCGGCUAACUACGUG